Molecule: long non-coding RNA, 2783 nt
Filed under: Equus caballus (horse)
Lineage: Eukaryota; Metazoa; Chordata; Mammalia; Perissodactyla; Equidae
Description: lncRNA (ENSECAG00000060075.1)
Source: RNAcentral
UAAUCUUCCUCAAACAUUAAAAUAUAUAUAUAAAUAAAUAAAAAGACAAGAAACAAGUGUGGCAGAGGGUGUAGAUAAAAGGGAACUCUCAUAUACUGCUGGUGGGAAUGCAAACUGGUGUAGCCACUAUGAAAAUCAGUAUGAUUAAAAAUAGAAAUACCAUAUGAUUCAGCUAUCCCACUACUAGGUAUUUAUCCAAGGAACAUGAAAACACAAAUUCAAAAAGAUAAAUGCACCCUUAUGUUCAUUGCAAUAUUAUUCACAAUAGCCAAGACUCACAGUCAACCUAAGGCCCAUCAACGGAUGAAUGGAUAAAAAAGGUGUGGUAUAUAUAGACAAUGGAAUACUAGUCAACCAUAAAAAGUGAUGAAAUUGUGCUAUUUGUGACAUGGAUGGACCUUAAAGGUAUUAUGCUAAGCAAAAUAAGCCAGACAGGGAAAGACAAAUACCAUAUGAUUUCACUCAUAUGUGGAAGAUAAACAAACACAUAGAUAUGGAGAGCAGACUGGUGGUUACCAGAGGGGAAGGGGUUCGGGGUAGGGCAAAUGGGGUAAAGGGGCACAUAUGUAUGGUGAUGGAUGGAAACUAGAUUUUUGGUGGUGAACACAACGCAGUCUAUACAGAAACAGAAAUAUAGUGAUGUACACUUGAAAUUUACACAAUGUUAUAAACCAAUGUGACCUUGAUAAAAAAGAAAACUGUUGCAGUAUUUGAUUUGUAAGUAUGUUACUUUGAUUAAAUUAAAAUUUUAGACAGGAGGAAAAAUAAAAUUUACGAAGUAGGACCUUGUGCUUUGGCCAUAAUGGAGUAACAGUGACCAACUUUAAUUUACUCUCUUGCCUUAAACAACUAAAAAACAACACGAAAAUAAGUACAUACUGUAUUUUUCAAUUUGUAUAAAUUUCUAGAAAACUCUUAGCAAUCUAUAGUGACUGUAGAUCAGUAGUUGCCUAGGGAUAGGAGUGGAGGGAGGAUGGAAUACAAACAGACUUGAGAAAACUUAGGGGAAUGCAAAUAUUGGUGAUCUUAAUUGUGGUGAUGAUUUCACAGAUGUAUAUACACACAUCAAAACUCAUCAAAGUGUAUACUAUAAAUUAUUGCAUUUAUGUUAAUUAUACCUAAGUAAAGUUAUUUUUAAGAUGCAAUAGGUAGAAAAGUAAAAAAAGAAAACCCAGCAUAAUGGAAUCUCAGGAUUCAAGUAAGAAAAGGGUGUGAAGAUUAAGGAGAAAUUCAAAUCAUCCAACAAGUAUUAACUAUAAUGUACAUAGGUCUAUGUUCUGAAGUGUUCUCAAUCAUUAAGUCUUCUAACGAAAUCUUGCUUAUUUCCUGCAAAUUACUUAAAUCAGUUUAUAAUUAUAGAUUUAUUAAAAAAUGUGAUUAAUAUCUGCCACCUACCACUAAUCUGGAGUGUCUAUGAGGAGAGCAUUUUUACCUUCUUUUUCUCACUGUCAUUUCCAUUGUGCUAAUUUCCAUUGUGUCAUUUCCAGUGCUAAUCCAUUGGCUGCCAACUUUCAGGUCUUUAAUAAAUAUUCUCUGAAAGAAUACUAGCCUUAGGUUCUUGAAGACGUAUAGGACACAGUCCCUGACCUCAAGAAACUCAAUCUUAGUUGUCAAGUUUUAUUAAAGCCACAAUUAGUAGCAAGAAUAAUGAGGUCUAAAAACGGCAUUUGAAUUUGUUAAUAAGUUAGAAUUUCAUGGGCCUAAAAAUGAACUGUGAUAUGACACAAAGAUAAUCAGAUAUCCCUCAAAUAUUCUGCCAUACGGCUGCCACUGGAUUGAAAUUAAGACUGUCUUACCUUGUGCAAAACCUAAAAGCUUUCCCAUGGCUGUUAUAACACCUUGAUAGUUUGACAUGGCUGCUGCUUUAGGAACAGACAACCACAGGUUUUACGGUUGUUUUACGUACUGCUAAAACAGUUUACUGUUUUACGGUACUGCUGUUUUACGGUACUGACAAGAUGUUCCUACAAAUGUAAUUAUUGAAAUGGUAUUGUAAAAAUAAAGAAUAAGUAGAAAGAAAAGCUUGUCCUGUAUGGUGUUAGUCCUAUUACCCCUUGUAGUCAGCAUAGAUCAUUGCUCUAUGAGUAGUCAACUUCUCCACAAGCACAGGAACACAGUGUUCAUGAAGCUUACUUCAUCAUAGAAUCUUCACCAAAAUCCUCUCUUUGGAAGUACAUCUUCCUGUCAAAUUUUGCAUCCUUCUGGCACUUCAGCUCAUUUUCUAUUUUUUACUAUUUUCCAAUAUUUCUGGAUGUGUCUGUCAGGAUAGAUUAAGUUAUGCUGCAGUAACAAAUAUCCCCACCCCAGAGUUUAAUGGCAUGAAACAACAAAGAUUGAUUUCUUACAUAAUUUAUCCAUAAUAGGUUGGAUAUGGGGUUCUGAUCCUCUGUAUCACAUUAAUAUCCUUCUCACUCAGGGACCAGGCUGAUGGCACACUCACCAUCUUGAGCACUAUUGCUACCAGGACAGAGAGAAAGAUUAAAGCAAAAUUUGUAUUGUUUAAAAGCUUCUACAUUGAAGUGGCAUACAUUGCUUCCUCCCACACCCCAUUGGCCGAUCAUAUGACCAUUCCUGAGCUCCACAGGGUAGGGUUAUAGAAACCUUUCACACAGAAGCCCUGAAUAUUAAACAGAAACAGAGCUUAGCACACUGAAGUUUUACCAUAAUCAGAUUCAGUUUACUGUACUGAGCAAGGAUUACAGCAGGGCUGCUUUACUCUUUCAGGGCAGUUGCCUGAUCCUUGUAAACCCUCCCCUGCAGUCUCCUUCCUUUCUUCUAGCAAG